CAUAGAAUGUGACGGCAGAUAAGAACCAUUCGGCCCAUCUAGUCUGCCCAAUUUUCUAAAUACUUUCAUUAGUCCCUGGCCUUAUCUUAUAGUUAGGAUAGCCUUAUGCCUAUCCCACGCAUGCUUAAACUCCUUUACUGUGUUAACCUCUACCACUUCAGCUGGAAGGCUAUUCCAUGCAUCCACUACCCUCUCAGUAAAGUAAUACUUCCUGAUAU
Molecule: non-coding RNA, 218 nt
Organism: Pelobates cultripes (western spadefoot toad)
Lineage: Eukaryota; Metazoa; Chordata; Amphibia; Anura; Pelobatidae
Source: the annotation of a GenBank genome assembly